This 557-nucleotide ribosomal RNA is filed under the name Kondoa sp. (in: rust fungi & allies). RNAcentral describes it as "Kondoa sp. partial large subunit ribosomal RNA". It matches the Rfam family "Eukaryotic large subunit ribosomal RNA", at positions 99 to 631 of the family's 3401-position model. Lineage: Eukaryota; Fungi; Basidiomycota; Agaricostilbomycetes; Agaricostilbales; Kondoaceae. The record is from RNAcentral.
UGGGAAAAGCUCAACUUUGUAAUCUGGUUGCCUUUGGCGAUCCGAGUUGUAGUCUAGAGAAGUGUUAUCCGCGCAGCCCCCUUAUAGAUUUCGGUUGGAAUGCCAAGUCAAAGAGGGUGAGAAUCCCGUAUUUGAUAAGGUGGGCUUGUGCAUUGUGAUACAUUUUCAAAGAGUCGAGUUGUUUGGGAAUGCAGCUCAAAGUGGGUGGUAAAUUCCAUCUAAAGCUAAAUAUUGGCGAGAGACCGAUAGCGAACAAGUACCGUGAGGGAAAGAUGAAAAGCACUUUGGAAAGAGAAUGAAAUAGUACAUGAAAUUGCUGAAAGGGAAACGAUUGAAGUUAGACUUGCGCGGUUGGUAUUCAACCUUGGCUUCGGCCUUGGUGCAUUUGCCAAUCAUUGCAGGCCAGCAUCAGUUUGCUUUGCUGUAAAAGGGUUGAAGGAAUGUGGCUUCUUCAAGAGUGUUAUAGCCUUCUUCUGGAUGCAGAAUCGCAGACUGAGGAACGCAGCGCGCCUUUUAUUGGCAACACGUUUACGUGUCGAGCGCUUAGGAUGCUGGUA